Molecule: long non-coding RNA, 512 nt
Filed under: Parus major (Great Tit)
Lineage: Eukaryota; Metazoa; Chordata; Aves; Passeriformes; Paridae
Description: lncRNA (ENSPMJG00000004733.1)
Source: RNAcentral
CCCGGGAUCCAGGAGCUGUUCCAGGGAUCCAGGAGCCGUUCCCGGGAUCCAGGAGCCGUUCCGGGGAUCCAGGAGCCGUUCCGGGGCCGUUCCCGGAGCCGUUCCCGGGAUCCAGAGGCUGAUCAGGAGCCGUUCCCGGGAUCCAGGAGCCGUUCCCGGCUAUUCCAGGAGCCGUUCCCGGGCUGUUCCCGGGAUCCAGGAGCUAUUCCCGGCUGUUCCCGGAGCCGUUCCGGGGCCGUUCCCGGCUGUUCCCGGAGCCGUUCCGGACUCCGCCGCCGAAGGAAGGCGGCGCGGGCGGAGCCGGAGGCUCUAAUUAAUCUCUGCUCUAAUUAAGCUCUGCUCUAAUGAAUCAGGGAAGCGGGGGCGGGGCUGCGGGGGAAGAUCCGCUCGUUUUUCCUGGAUAAAAGGAAGGAAUCGCCGCCUUUCCCUUGAAAUCCGGGAUGUGACGGGAAAGGCUCUGCCCGCCCCCACCGCGGCAUCCCGGGAUUCCCAGCGGGAUCCGCUCCCUCCCC